RNAcentral lists this ribosomal RNA (589 nucleotides) under uncultured bacterium. RNAcentral's name for it is "bacterial SSU rRNA". It matches the Rfam family "Bacterial small subunit ribosomal RNA", at positions 102 to 689 of the family's 1533-position model. The record is from RNAcentral.
ACGGGUGCGUAACGCGUAUGCAAUCUACCUUUUACAGAGGGAUAGCCCAGAGAAAUUUGGAUUAAUACCUCAUAGUAUACAGACUCGGCAUCGAGAUUGUAUUAAAGUCACAACGGUAAAAGAUGAGCAUGCGUCCCAUUAGCUAGUUGGUAAGGUAACGGCUUACCAAGGCUACGAUGGGUAGGGGUCCUGAGAGGGAGAUCCCCCACACUGGUACUGAGACACGGACCAGACUCCUACGGGAGGCAGCAGUGAGGAAUAUUGGACAAUGGGCGCAAGCCUGAUCCAGCCAUGCCGCGUGCAGGAUGACGGUCCUAUGGAUUGUAAACUGCUUUUAUACGAGAAGAAACACUGCUUCGUGAAGCAGCUUGACGGUAUCGUAAGAAUAAGGAUCGGCUAACUCCGUGCCAGCAGCCGCGGUAAUACGGAGGAUCCAAGCGUUAUCCGGAAUCAUUGGGUUUAAAGGGUCCGUAGGCGGUUUAAUAAGUCAGUGGUGAAAGCCCAUCGCUCAACGGUGGAACGGCCAUUGAUACUGUUAAACUUGAAUUAUUAGGAAGUAACUAGAAUAUGUAGUGUAGCGGUGAAAUGC